AAAAAAAAGUUAAUGUGUGUGUGUGUUUGUGUCUGACUGUGUGUGUGUUUGUGUCUGACUGUGUGUGUUUGUGAGUGUGUGUUUGUGUCUGUGUAUGUGUCUGACUGUGUGUGUGUGUUUGUGUCUGACUGUGUUUGUGUCUGUGUAUGUGUCUGACUGUGUGUGUGUAUGUGACUGUGUUUGUGUCUGACUGUGUGUGUGUGUUUGUGUCUGACUGUGUAUGUGUGUGUGUGUGUGUCUGACUGUGUGUGUGUGUGUGUGUUUGUGUCUGACGGUGUAUGUGUCUGACUGUGUGUGUGUUUGUGUAUGUGUCUGACUGUGUGUGUGUUUGUGUCUGACUGUGUGUGUGUGUGUUUGUGUAUGUGUCUGACUGUGUGUGUGUGUGUUUGUGUCUAACUG
This 399-nucleotide long non-coding RNA is filed under the name Pelobates cultripes (western spadefoot toad). The record is from RNAcentral. Lineage: Eukaryota; Metazoa; Chordata; Amphibia; Anura; Pelobatidae.